ACACCUGCACACAGACAUGCACUCAAGCCUGCACACACAUGGGCAGACACCCGCUCUGAAGCAUCCUCCCCGGCGGCUGACCUGUGUCCCUGCUGCCACACACACUGGGGGACAUCGCCAAGUCCAGACACAGAUGCCCCCAACUCCUCCGUGAGCUGAAAGAGCCUCCCCGUGGGAGCUGCCUGGACGUCUGACAUGGCCGUGAGCACAGGGGAUGGUCCAGCUGCGCAGGACAGAGAGCUGGACGUGGCUGGGCUGGCCCGUCUCCGCCUCGCCCAGCUCUUGCACACGUGAUGGCUGUUUUCUGAAAUGCCAUCUCCCUCCUCGGUGCCUGAAGUCUCCUUCCUGGGAAUGAUGUAGACUUUUCCCCCCCAGUACUUUGAGUUGCUGUUUUAUGAUGCAAACAUGUUGAAACACCGUCGGAAGUCACACUCCUCAAAGCACCACGAAGUCACGGUGAGGACUGCCCCAGCGGCCCCUCGAGCCCCCCCGACGUCGGGGAGGGGUCUGCCUGCAGAGCCGAGCUGCAGGGCAGAGGCAGGUGGGCUUGGCUCAGGCUGCCCCGAGGGAUCAAAUGCAACAGUGAGUUAAAAAUAGAACAUUGGGGUCAGACACACUUUGUCCUGGGGAGGCCAGGAGGGUUCCGUAGA
Long non-coding RNA from Lemur catta (Ring-tailed lemur), 650 nucleotides. RefSeq lists it as uncharacterized. The record is from RefSeq and is a predicted model, not a curated record. The transcript has 3 exons. NCBI's taxonomy places the organism in Eukaryota, Metazoa, Chordata, Mammalia, Primates, Lemuridae.